Molecule: ribosomal RNA, 1372 nt
Filed under: uncultured bacterium
Lineage: Bacteria
Description: bacterial SSU rRNA
Rfam family: Bacterial small subunit ribosomal RNA
Source: RNAcentral
GAUAAACGCUGGCGGCGUGCCUAAUACAUGCAAGUCGAGCGAACGGACGAGAAGCUUGCUUCUCUGAUGUUAGCGGCGGACGGGUGAGUAACACGUGGAUAACCUACCUAUAAGACUGGGAUAACUUCGGGAAACCGGAGCUAAUACCGGAUAAUAUUUUGAACCGCAUGGUUCAAAAGUGAAAGACGGUCUUGCUGUCACUUAUAGAUGGAUCCGCGCUGCAUUAGCUAGUUGGUAAGGUAACGGCUUACCAAGGCAACGAUGCAUAGCCGACCUGAGAGGGUGAUCGGCCACACUGGAACUGAGACACGGUCCAGACUCCUACGGGAGGCAGCAGUAGGGAAUCUUCCGCAAUGGGCGAAAGCCUGACGGAGCAACGCCGCGUGAGUGAUGAAGGUCUUCGGAUCGUAAAACUCUGUUAUUAGGGAAGAACAUAUGUGUAAGUAACUGUGCACAUCUUGACGGUACCUAAUCAGAAAGCCACGGCUAACUACGUGCCAGCAGCCGCGGUAAUACGUAGGUGGCAAGCGUUAUCCGGAAUUAUUGGGCGUAAAGCGCGCGUAGGCGGUUUUUUAAGUCUGAUGUGAAAGCCCACGGCUCAACCGUGGAGGGUCAUUGGAAACUGGAAAACUUGAGUGCAGAAGAGGAAAGUGGAAUUCCAUGUGUAGCGGUGAAAUGCGCAGAGAUAUGGAGGAACACCAGUGGCGAAGGCGACUUUCUGGUCUGUAACUGACGCUGAUGUGCGAAAGCGUGGGGAUCAAACAGGAUUAGAUACCCUGGUAGUCCACGCCGUAAACGAUGAGUGCUAAGUGUUAGGGGGUUUCCGCCCCUUAGUGCUGCAGCUAACGCAUUAAGCACUCCGCCUGGGGAGUACGACCGCAAGGUUGAAACUCAAAGGAAUUGACGGGGGCCCGCACAAGCGGUGGAGCAUGUGGUUUAAUUCGAAGCAACGCGAAGAACCUUACCAAAUCUUGACAUCCUUUGACAACUCUAGAGAUAGAGCCUUCCCCUUCGGGGGACAAAGUGACAGGUGGUGCAUGGUUGUCGUCAGCUCGUGUCGUGAGAUGUUGGGUUAAGUCCCGCAACGAGCGCAACCCUUAAGCUUAGUUGCCAUCAUUAAGUUGGGCACUCUAAGUUGACUGCCGGUGACAAACCGGAGGAAGGUGGGGAUGACGUCAAAUCAUCAUGCCCCUUAUGAUUUGGGCUACACACGUGCUACAAUGGACAAUACAAAGGGCAGCGAAACCGCGAGGUCAGGCAAAUCCCAUAAAGUUGUUCUCAGUUCGGAUUGUAGUCUGCAACUCGACUACAUGAAGCUGGAAUCGCUAGUAAUCGUAGAUCAGCAUGCUACGGUGAAUACGUUCCCGGGUCU